RNAcentral lists this ribosomal RNA (253 nucleotides) under uncultured bacterium. RNAcentral's name for it is "partial 16S ribosomal RNA". It matches the Rfam family "Bacterial small subunit ribosomal RNA", at positions 524 to 776 of the family's 1533-position model. The record is from RNAcentral.
UACGGGGGGGGCAAGCGUUGUUCGGAAUUACUGGGCGUAAAGGGCUCGUAGGCGGCCACCUAAGUCAGACGUGAAAUCCCUAGGCUCAACCUAGGAACUGCGUCUGAUACUGGAUGGCUUGAAUCCGGGAGAGGGAUGCAGAAUUCCAGGUGUAGCGGUGAAAUGCGUAGAUAUCUGGAGGAAUACCGGUGGCGAAGGCGGCAUCCUGGACCGGCAUUGACGCUGAGGAGCGAAAGCCAGGGGAGCAAACGGG